Molecule: ribosomal RNA, 255 nt
Filed under: uncultured bacterium
Lineage: Bacteria
Description: partial 16S ribosomal RNA
Rfam family: Bacterial small subunit ribosomal RNA
Source: RNAcentral
UACGUAGGGUGCAAGCGUUAAUCGGAAUUACUGGGCGUAAAGCGUGCGCAGGCGGUUAUGUAAGACAGUUGUGAAAUCCCCGGGCUCAACCUGGGAACUGCAUCUGUGACUGCAUAGCUAGAGUACGGUAGAGGGGGGGAUGGAAUUCCGCGUGUAGCAGUGAAAUGCGUAGAUAUGCGGAGGAACACCGAUGGCGAAGGCAAUCCCCUGGACCUGUACUGACGCUCAUGCACGAAAGCGUGGGGAGCAAACAGG